Megalopta genalis is the source of this 1764-nucleotide non-coding RNA. Lineage: Eukaryota; Metazoa; Arthropoda; Insecta; Hymenoptera; Halictidae. The record is from RefSeq and is a predicted model, not a curated record.
GAUUGCAUUCCCUUCUGUUUUAUUCACGACAAUUGUACUCGAAAGCGUCUCCAACGAAUAUUUGUGCAACGUUCUCUUGUAUCUUACAAGGUGGUUUCGAACCCUAGAAUGAGUACCUGCGGAUUCCGAAAGCGUACCUACAAUUAGAAGUAGUUCGAUGCUAGAAAGAAUAGGUGCUAGAGAGUAGUCUACAUCGAUUUCUUAAAAUCGCGUUACAUGUGUUAUCAACAAAAGCAAAACAAAGUUCUUGAAGCUUACAAACGAAAAUUGACGAAACGAACGUUUAGGUUGCAUCGUAGACAAAUAAACGUAAUCCGAAUGAAACAAUCUAAUCAGAUUCGAGCCCACUUCUAAUCAUCUAUGUAGUGUUCACAAAGGUUUCCUGGUCGGUUUCCGAUUGUCGCAAAUGCGUCUAUCUAGGGUUACCAAAUUCGCUUCACCGUCGAGAAAGCCUGCGACACGUACAUUGCUCGGAUCAACGAAUAAUUUUUAUUUCUGAUCGAUUGUUACAGUUGCUCGUGUAAUAGUCGCAGACGUUUCUCGGCCGUGGACGAUCCUGAACCGGUAACCCUAAGUAAUCUACUGGAAGUAUUACAGUGUCUUUGAAAACUACCGGUCACCUAGUGGCGGUGCGACGUGCGACACAGAUCCGGCACACGACAGCUUCUCAACGAUCCUCGACACUCCCAAAUACCAACAACAGGUCCGCCUCGUCGAGAGAGCGCACACGAUGCAAUUACACCACAAAUACAAGUAUUACACAGAACAAAUACUUAAACGAGAUACGGGCCACAGACGAGAUACACACCACACAACACAGGACAACGACAUGACAAAAUGCUACGGUUCCGAGGAUGAUAUACAUUUACAUACGUUCCACCGGACGGUGGAAUAGCAAAAGCAUCAGUAGGUGCCAGCCAGUAAAUAAAUACACAGGCCGUCUUGAGAUCAUCGUACCUAGGCAGAGACGACGAGUCUGCCUCGUCCAAUCGGGAAUUGCUAGACUGUAAGGGACAUUGCUGUACAGAUUGCGAUUGAACCACCGUGUACGGUAUCUCUCGCCGUUGCUGCUCGCUCAUUCCGGUCGUGUCGACUAGCCCGAACUCCAAAUGUCUGGAAGAAAUCAUGCUCUCAAUCGUUACAUCGUUACAUCGAUCCGACGCGGCGCAACGCAUCGGUAUUGUGUGCCAAGGAACUGCCGAGGAUAUCUGCAGCGUUAAGGAGCCUUCACAGCGACUCUACUACACUUCAUUUCACGCGAACCAACCCCUUCCUCGACGCUAAAUCUACCGAGCCCCAAAACGAACUCACGUCUGCUGCUUUGUCACGAUCGAAAGAUUGCGUUUAUUUAAACUUUUCACCGCUUUCAUCGUAAUGCACUCACGAAUUAGGAAAUUUCAACAGAAAAUGUGAAAUCAGUCGCUAUAACCGCCCCCCGGUAAGUUCGAUACGUACGACGAGUACACAACGCGGAUUCUGGAACAGAACUAUAGCAACAUUCACAAUUUUUCAGAUGUUUCAACUUUGGAAGAUUGACUCGUCGAACAAUGCAGACUAGCAAUUUUAAAAUGGUAGUAACGUUAGAAGAGUUCUUGAGUACCGAUACGUUGCUUUCAAUUUAUUAAAAUUCUUACAAACAAAUAAGCGAUUUCUAAGUGGCUUUCCGUUUCCUCCAUCAGUUUACAACGAAUUUAGAUGAUUUUUAUUUUGCGUAUGGACAUUCGCGGUUUAACCCCUUGACGAAUAAGGGAAACAUUUUUCCCC